Molecule: non-coding RNA, 73 nt
Organism: Anarrhichthys ocellatus (wolf-eel)
Lineage: Eukaryota; Metazoa; Chordata; Actinopteri; Perciformes; Anarhichadidae
Source: the annotation of a RefSeq genome assembly
GUUUCCGUAGUGUAGUGGUUAUCACGUUGGCUUUACACGCGAAAAGUCCCCCGUUUGAAACUGGGCGGAAACA